UUGGCUUUUAUAGUGAAAGUCAAAAUAUAUUCUGUAUCGAGAUAAAGUCGAUUCUCUAACUUUUAUAGUGAAAGCCAAAAUAUAUUCUGUAUGUCAAUUUUUAUAGUGAAAAAUUGAAAUAUAGUUGAUAGAAAUUGACCGUUCAUCUGUCGGUCUAUUAUCACUUUGUAGUUGACUAAAACUUGUGAUUCUAAAAUACAAUGUUUCUUCACCGACUCUUUUUUGAAAGUUGCCCCCCC
This 239-nucleotide long non-coding RNA is filed under the name Elaeis guineensis (African oil palm). Its description in RNAcentral is "long non-coding RNA (EGUI_LNC031804)". Lineage: Eukaryota; Viridiplantae; Streptophyta; Magnoliopsida; Arecales; Arecaceae. The record is from RNAcentral.